This 625-nucleotide ribosomal RNA is filed under the name uncultured bacterium. RNAcentral describes it as "bacterial SSU rRNA". It matches the Rfam family "Bacterial small subunit ribosomal RNA", at positions 57 to 676 of the family's 1533-position model. The record is from RNAcentral.
GCAGUCGAGCGGUACAUUUCUAGCUUGCUAGAAAUGACGAGCGGCGGCCGUAUGAGUAAUGCUUGGGAACAUGCCUUGAGGUGGGGGACACUAGUUGGAAACGACUGUGAAUACCGCAUAACGUCUACGGACCAAAGGAGGGGAUCUUCGGACCUUUCGCCUUUAGAUUGGCCCAAGUGAGAUUAGCUAGAUGGUAGGGUAAUGGCCUACCAUGGCGACGAUCUCUAGCUGGUUUGAGAGGAUGAUCAGCCACACUGGGACUGAGACACGGCCCAGACUCCUACGGGAGGCAGCAGUGGGGAAUAUUGCACAAUGGGGGAAACCCUGAUGCAGCCAUGCCGCGUGUGUGAAGAAGGCCUUCGGGUUGUAAAGCACUUUCAGUCGUGAGGAAAGGGUUGUAGUUAAUACCUGCAAUCUGUGACGUUAGCGACAGAAGAAGCACCGGCUAACUCCGUGCCAGCAGCCGCGGUAAUACGGAGGGUGCGAGCGUUAAUCGGAAUUACUGGGCGUAAAGCGUGCGUAGGCGGAUGAUUAAGCGAGAUGUGAAAUCCCGGGGCUCAACCUCGGAACUGCAUUUCGAACUGGUCAUCUAGAGUACUGUAGAGGGUGGUGGAAUUUCCAGUGU